Molecule: ribosomal RNA, 132 nt
Filed under: Strychnos axillaris
Lineage: Eukaryota; Viridiplantae; Streptophyta; Magnoliopsida; Gentianales; Loganiaceae
Description: partial 5.8S ribosomal RNA
Rfam family: 5.8S ribosomal RNA
About the family: 5.8S ribosomal RNA (5.8S rRNA) is a component of the large subunit of the eukaryotic ribosome. It is transcribed by RNA polymerase I as part of the 45S precursor that also contains 18S and 28S rRNA.
Source: RNAcentral
UUGCAUCGAUGAAGAACGUAGCAAACUGCGAUACUUGGUGUGAAUUGCAGAAUCCCGUGAACCAUCGAGUCUUUGAACGCAAGUUGCGCCCAAAGCCAUUAGGCCGAGGGCACGUCUGCCUGGGCGUCACGC